This 534-nucleotide long non-coding RNA is filed under the name Eucalyptus grandis. RNAcentral's name for it is "long non-coding RNA (EGRA_LNC007203)". Lineage: Eukaryota; Viridiplantae; Streptophyta; Magnoliopsida; Myrtales; Myrtaceae. The record is from RNAcentral.
UCUCUUUCCAUCUCUCUCUCUCCACCCAAAAAAACAAAAAAAACAUCGAUAUCGACUCACCAGCUCCAUUUCAAUGGUCCUUGUCCUCAUCCUAAGUCUUCACUAAAUUUGUCCCCGUAAAAAUCUCGUUCCCUUUUUGAUCCCAUCAACAGUAGACCCUUUGAAUCAGGAUCGAGAAAGAAGCCUGCGAGCAAUCAGUUUUUGGUGUUUUGAUAGCGACCCAAUCAUACCUUACAAGAUUUUUUUUUUAGUCCUCAGGUUUGACUUUCCUAGUUCACUGUAAUAAUCCAUUUCCUUCUUUUUCUCCUCUUUCUCUGGCGAGUCAUCUUCAAUCGGAAAAAAAAAAAGAAAAGAAAAAAAGAGAGAAAUAUUUGCUAAACGUGAGUGACGACCUGCCAACCAGCAAACAAACCGAAAAUUCAAUUAUGGGGAUCUCCAUUGGUUUUCUUUACCCUCCUUUGCGAAAGGCGGAGGAGGCAGAGGCGAUGGCGAUGAAGGUGGAAGCGGAGGCAGUGGCGGCGACAGCGGCAGCAG